This 253-nucleotide ribosomal RNA is filed under the name uncultured bacterium. RNAcentral describes it as "partial 16S ribosomal RNA". It matches the Rfam family "Bacterial small subunit ribosomal RNA", at positions 524 to 776 of the family's 1533-position model. The record is from RNAcentral.
UACGUAGGUGGCAAGCGUUGUCCGGAUUUAUUGGGUUUAAAGGGUGCGUAGGCGGUCUAUUAAGUCAGUUGCGAAAUACGGCAGCUCAACUGUCGAGGUGCAAUUGAUACUGAUGGACUUGAGUACUGAUGAGGUAAGCGGAAUGGACGGUGUAGCGGUGAAAUGCUUAGAUAUCGUCCAGAACACCGAUAGCGAAGGCAGCUUACUAAGGAGUAACUGACGCUGAGGCACGAAAGUGUGGGGAUCAAACAGG